UCUGACCUAGAACAGCCACCUUGUUUUACGGCUGAGGACAGGAGGGCUGAGAAGGAAAGCCCUGUCCCUGCAGGGGCUAAUGAAUGAGAGGAGGGAGAAUGAGCUACCCCCGGGAAGAAUCAAAUUCCGGAGGCAGGUGACCUCUGGGGCAGGCUGCAAGGACGCGGGCCUAGGGAAUGGCUGCCUUCUUCUCUGGGUUUUUCUUUAAACCGCACUGCUCAGCCCAGCCAUUUCCAGGAGGCCUCGCCAUGGGC
This 254-nucleotide long non-coding RNA is filed under the name Homo sapiens (human). Its description in RNAcentral is "long non-coding RNA NONHSAT253011". Lineage: Eukaryota; Metazoa; Chordata; Mammalia; Primates; Hominidae. The record is from RNAcentral.